UCGAUAGGCAAUGGGUUGGCAGUAUGGCGAGAGUGUUAGAACCGUGUAUGCGUUAUACUAGUGCGCGGGCCAGAUAACGACGGCAGCGGCGGCGGCGGCGGCGGUCGAUCAUCAUCAUAUUAUUAGUAUACGUCAGUGUUGCGAUCAACAGGAAAUAACAAUUAUUAUAAUAUAAUAUCAUCACUAUUACUAUUAUUAUUAUUAUUAUUUGUAUUUGUAUUAUUAUUAUUACUAUUAUUAUUAUUAUUACAAACUAAAACCGCGUGAUAACACCGUGUGCAAUAUAAAAUACUGUUCACGGCAUAUUAUAUAUAUUAUAGCGGUUAGAUGGCCGUCAGUCGCAGUGCUUAAUCGUAUUAUAUAUGUGUGUGUGGUCAUAAACGCGUAAACACCAAACCGCCACAGACGUUAUUUACCAAAAUCCCACACCAUAAAAUAUUAUAAUGCACUAAGAUAUUAUAAUUAUUAUUUGUAUUGUCAUCGUCGUCGUCGUCAAGUACACUAGAGCCAAAGAAAACGAGAAAACACGAGAUCCUGAGGAAGUUUUUGUGGAUGGAAUAAAUCCAGACCACAAACAACGUCUGGGAUAACUGCGCCACAGAACACUAUUUAGUACAAAUAAACGAUUAUUCGCAAUCGGCAUUUGA
Molecule: long non-coding RNA, 647 nt
Organism: Rhopalosiphum padi (bird cherry-oat aphid)
Lineage: Eukaryota; Metazoa; Arthropoda; Insecta; Hemiptera; Aphididae
Exons: 3
Source: RefSeq, a predicted model, not a curated record